RNAcentral lists this unclassified non-coding RNA (785 nucleotides) under Hevea brasiliensis (rubber tree). The record is from RNAcentral. Lineage: Eukaryota; Viridiplantae; Streptophyta; Magnoliopsida; Malpighiales; Euphorbiaceae.
CCUUGUAGACACUUGGAUUGAAAAUUCCUUCUAGGAAAAAAAAUAAAUAAACCAUUCACUAAAACAAGAACAACAAAAACCAUUUUCCCAUAGCAAAAACCCAGAAGCCAUUUUUCAUGCCCAAAGAACAUUUGCCAAUGAAACUCCUACAUUAAGAAAUGGGGAAUUCAAUUAAAUGAGAUACUGCCAACGUUUGGAAAUUGGAAGCUGAUUGAAACAAAUAAAAUAUUUCAUACUUUGAGCAGGUUGGAACCAUCCAAAUAGUAAUUUAACCUCAACAAACUGGAGAGAUAAGAAAAUCUGCUAAAUACAUGAGGAUUUAAUGUUAGCUCCAGGUCAAGCAAUUGAUGUCAUGGACAACAAAGUAAACCAUAGAAAAGUUUGCUCAACUUCCUCUUAUUUCUUAUCACAGGUCAGCUUCAAUAUACCGUACUAGGUUUUUCUUUUAAUUCUUUUUUCCAUUUGAGAAAGGUCUGGACAAUCCAGACAUCAAACUCCGGAACCGAGCUACAAUCACCUGCAUACGUACUAAUGGAGCCAAUCCCAAUUAACUGUUGACUUUACUUCUUUAGGUACAGCAACUGGCGUCACUUCAUCAAAUUUAAAACAUAAAAAUGCUUUUUAUAGCUACUCUAGACGAGUAGCAUGCAACCUUUAAUUGAGACCAGAAUCACAAGCGAAGCCUUUUUGUAAACCCAAUUAUCAAGUUCAUCCAACAUAAUAUUUAAGCAGUGGCAACAGAUACAGACGUCCCAAGCACACACCUGAAUUUGAAACUCUUCCAA